Molecule: non-coding RNA, 72 nt
Organism: Echria macrotheca
Lineage: Eukaryota; Fungi; Ascomycota; Sordariomycetes; Sordariales; Schizotheciaceae
Source: the annotation of a GenBank genome assembly
UCCGAUAUGGGGUAGUGGCUAACCUAUCGCGCUUUCACCGCGAGGCCCCGGGUUCAAUUCCCGGUAUCGGAA